GCUACACCUGGCAUACUGGGAGUUGUCGUCUUUGAUUAGCUUCCAGUUUUUUAAUUGCAGGGCGACCGGAUUACAAUCACAGCCAGCAUGAACAUGGGGCGGCGCACAGUCCUGAAGAGGAAAGCCGGGCUGUGUUGACCUCGCUGUGCAUGCUGGGAGUUGUAGUCUCUUCACUGCUCCCGCCCGUUGUUUCAGGCACUUCGGGACUACAAUCCCAGCAUGACCCGGGCUCGGGGACGGGGCGCAGUUCUCGUGGGAGGAGCGGGGCGGUGAGAGCCUGGCUAGGCAGGCUGGAAACAGUAGCUCUUAACGGUCCCCCGCCCGUUGGUGGCAAGGCGGCUGGACUGGAAUCCCAGCAGGCGACAUGCGAGGAGGCGGGCAGCCCAGGAGGGUUGGACACGGCAAUGUGGACCUCGCCGCUUCCACAACGAUGCUGGCUACUGAUCGCGUGCACUUCCUUGCCAAAGAAAAGAAAUUAAUGUUAUGACUGGAUGAAGACAAUUGUGAAGAAACUGCACUUUGAGGUUGUCUAUCUCUGUAUUCUGAUGGAAAAGCGUGGAGUUUAGAAGCACUGCUCACUCCUUCAGUUUCUAACAACAUCUGCACCGUGUUUUAUAUUUCGGAC
Molecule: long non-coding RNA, 625 nt
Filed under: Homo sapiens (human)
Lineage: Eukaryota; Metazoa; Chordata; Mammalia; Primates; Hominidae
Description: HSALNT0123507
Source: RNAcentral